GAUGAACGCUAGCGGCAGGCCUAAUACAUGCAAGUCGAACGGGAUCCAGAUCAAAGCUUGCUUUGGUCUGGUGAGAGUGGCGCACGGGUGCGUAACGCGUGAGCAACCUACCCUUGUCAGGGGGAUAGCCCGGCGAAAGUCGGAUUAAUACCGCAUGACAUCAUUGAGAGGCAUCUUUCGAUGAUCAAAGAUUUAUCGGACAAGGAUGGGCUCGCGUGACAUUAGCUAGUUGGUAAGGUAACGGCUUACCAAGGCUGCGAUGUCUAGGGGCUCUGAGAGGAGAAUCCCCCAAACUGGUACUGAGACACGGACCAGACUCCUACGGGAGGCAGCAGUAAGGAAUAUUGGUCAAUGGACGGAAGUCUGAACCAGCCAUGCCGCGUGCAGGAGGACGGCCCUAUGGGUUGUAAACUGCUUUUAUACGGGAACAAACGUCGGUACGUGUACCGGUCUGAGUGUACCGUAAGAAUAAGGAUCGGCUAACUCCGUG
This 490-nucleotide ribosomal RNA is filed under the name uncultured bacterium. RNAcentral describes it as "partial 16S ribosomal RNA". It matches the Rfam family "Bacterial small subunit ribosomal RNA", at positions 28 to 507 of the family's 1533-position model. The record is from RNAcentral.